CCUGCCCCCAGAGGUGUUGCAGGUGGGGCUGCUGUGUCGCAUGUGUGCCAGUAGGUGGCAGAGAGGAGAGAGGCCAGCCUUAGGAG
This 86-nucleotide small nucleolar RNA is filed under the name Meriones unguiculatus (Mongolian gerbil). Its description in RNAcentral is "Small nucleolar RNA SNORA17 (ENSMUGG00000018720.1)". It matches the Rfam family "Small nucleolar RNA SNORA17", at positions 1 to 86 of the family's 132-position model. Rfam says of the family: snoRNA ACA 17 belongs to the H/ACA family of snoRNAs and is predicted to guide pseudouridylation of the 28S rRNA at positions U4659 and U4598. It shares the same host gene together with ACA43. NB This family has a high threshold value to exclude a large number of closely related sequences that do not appear to have conserved H and ACA boxes, and may be pseudogenes. Lineage: Eukaryota; Metazoa; Chordata; Mammalia; Rodentia; Muridae. The record is from RNAcentral.